UACGGGAGGCAGCAGUGGGGAAUAUUGCACAAUGGGCGCAAGCCUGAUGCAGCCAUGCCGCGUGUAUGAAAAAGGCCUUCGGGUUGUAAAGUACUUUCAGUCGUGAGGAAGGUGUUAAGGUUAAUAACCUUAGCAAUUGACGUUAGCGACAGAAGAAGCACCGGCUAACUCCGUGCCAGCAGCCGCGGUAAUACGGAGGGUGCGAGCGUUAAUCGGAAUUACUGGGCGUAAAGGGCACGCAGGCGGUUAAUUAAGUUGGAUGUGAAAUCCCCGGGCUUAACCUGGGAAUGGCAUUCAAGACUGGUUAGCUAGAGUCUUGUAGAGGGGGUAGAAUUCCAUGUGUAGCGGUGAAAUGCGUAGAGAUGUGGAGGAAUACCGGUGGCGAAGGCGGCCCCUGGACAAAAGACUGACGCUCAUGUGCGAAAGCGUGGGGAGCAAACAGG
RNAcentral lists this ribosomal RNA (443 nucleotides) under uncultured bacterium. RNAcentral describes it as "bacterial SSU rRNA". It matches the Rfam family "Bacterial small subunit ribosomal RNA", at positions 340 to 776 of the family's 1533-position model. The record is from RNAcentral.